UAUCUCCGAGCACAGGCGGAAAAGCUGAGGUUUGAACUCCACGCGCCAGCCUGUGGGAGGAGGGGAAGAGAUGAUAACGACGACGCUUUGGCCUCUCGACUCUCGAGAGAGCACUCUUGUUAGUCUCGUACUCUUUAUUUCCAGUCCAGCUGUGGUUGGUCUGCUUUGUGCUGCGGAAACGCCAACCUUCGCCGCCGGCAGGAACUCUUUGCCUUAUCACCUCUCUUUUAUUUGCACUGAAAAAAAAAAGAAAAGCGAAUGAUCAUAUAAUUUAAGUACGAAUAUAUAAAAAAA
RNAcentral lists this long non-coding RNA (294 nucleotides) under Phoenix dactylifera (date palm). RNAcentral's name for it is "long non-coding RNA (PDAC_LNC018260)". Lineage: Eukaryota; Viridiplantae; Streptophyta; Magnoliopsida; Arecales; Arecaceae. The record is from RNAcentral.